This 2064-nucleotide unclassified non-coding RNA is filed under the name Limulus polyphemus (Atlantic horseshoe crab). Its description in RNAcentral is "traB domain-containing protein-like, transcript variant X1". Lineage: Eukaryota; Metazoa; Arthropoda; Merostomata; Xiphosura; Limulidae. The record is from RNAcentral.
GAUCGAUAAUUGUUUCAAAUAUUUCAGACUAUUAUUGCCACCCAGCCAGACAUAGUGAUGGUGGAAUUAUGUAGAAGAAGAGCCAACAUAUUGGCUUUAGAUGAAAAGACAAUACUUGAGGAGUCUCGAAAUAUGAACUUGGAGAAAGUCAGAGAUGCUAUUAGACAGAAUGGACUGGUUCAGGGGGUUAUGUACCUUCUUCUGCUCAGUAUGUCAGCACACUUAACUAAGGAGUUAGGGAUGGCUCCUGGUGGAGAAUUUCGUAGAGCAUUUUCUGAAGCCAAAAAGGUUCCAGGUUGUUUAAUUCAUCUGGGUGAUCGACCUAUUCAGAUCACCCUGCAGAGGGUGCUGGCUUCCUUGUCACUGUGGCAGAAACUCCGAGUAGCCUGGUAUAUGCUGACAAGCAAAGAGCCAAUAAGUAAAGAAGAGGUUGAAAAAUGUAAGCAGAGAGACCUUCUCGAAGAGAUGCUGGCAGAGAUGACUGGAGAGUUUCCUGCACUAAGCACGGUGUUUGUGAAAGAGAGAGAUAUGUAUCUAGCAUAUUCUCUUCGCCUUGCAGCAACUCCACUUCAAGAUCCCAAAUCACCUAGUGGAAUGAAACCUUCGGUAGUUGUUGGAGUAGUAGGUAUUGGCCACGUACCAGGGAUCGUUGAAAACUGGGAGAAAAUAUCUGAUGCUGAUAUUACUCCUCUUCUAAUUGUUCCUGAACCAUCUCUUGCUGCUAAAGUCUUUCGCCACACCCUAAAGAUAUCAGUUCUAAGUCUGGCCUUGUGGGGUUGCUGGCGACUUCUUCCAUCUUCCUUCAAGUCAACGCUGACUUCACAGAGGCCAUUAGACUGGCUUAACCAUAUUUUUACUCAUUAAGUAUGCAGAAGUAACUGAAGAAUGAGCAAACUGUUGGAAAAUAUUACAUUGUUAAACUUUUCAGAUAGAUAUAGUAACCAAAUUUGUGUACACUGGCCUAAGAUAUCCUACCAAACACUAAAAUCCAUGUAAAACAUUCAUUAAAGUUCGUAUUGAAAACAAACGUUUUGGUUCUUAAAGACAUGGUGUCAUUAUAUAUGUAAAAACGUUGUGAUUACAUUUAGGAAAGUUAUCCAAAAAUAAUGCUUACAGAUUGGUUCCUGUAAAGGUUAAUGAAGUAAUUAGUAUAAAGGUUACAGGCUGUGAGAGAAAGGUGAGGAUUAAUAACAGAAAUUAUAAGGGUUAAAGUUAUAGGCCAUGAUAGAAAGGUGAGGAUUAAUAACAGAAACUAUAAGGGUUAAGGUUAUAGGCCAUGAUAGAAAGGUGAGGAUUAAUAACAGAAACUAUAAGGGUUAAGGUUAUAGGCCAUGAUAGAAACGUGAGGAUUAAUAACAGAAACUAUGAGGGUUAAGGUUAUAGGCUGUGAGAGAAAGGUGAGGAUUAAUAACAGAAACUAUAAGGGUUAAGGUUAUAGGCUGUGAGAGAAAGGUGAGGAUUAAUAACAGAAACUAUAAGGGUUAAAGUUAUAGGCCAUGAUAGAAACGUGAGGAUUAAUAACAGAAACUAUGAGGGUUAAGGUUAUAGGCUGUGAGAGAAAGGUGAGGAUUAAUGACAGAAACUAUAAGGGUUAAGGUUAUAGGCUGUGAGAGAAAGGUGAGGAUUAAUGACAGAAACUAUAAGGGUUAAGGUUAUAGGCUGUGAGAGACAGAUAAGAACUAGGUUGUACUGAAUAUGUCUGGUUAUUUAUUUUGAUACCGAGUAUAUUAAUGUAUUACAGAAGAACAGGAUUUAUAAGAUGUACACUACAAGCAAUGGUGAUAGUAGAUGUUGGUAAUAGAUCAAAGUAUUAGUUUUAUAAAUUGUAAAGAAACGUGUGCCAUAAAGACAACCUCUGGCAUGGUACUGUAGUUAAUAAUCGUGUAGUCACAGUGAUUAUAUAACAAAAUCUUCCAUGAGGCCGUAAACAAAGUCCAUUCUUGUGAGAAAUUAUUGAUUAGACAUAUAUUUUGAACACUUAUCUUUCCUGUUAUUUUAGAUUGACAUGAAUAUAUAUUUUGACGUACCGAGUUAAUAACAAAAUUUUUGAACCAAAAGUGUAAA